UCUAAUUGGUUAGAAACUUCGGCAUAGUUUAACAGAAGUAAACGCCGCGUUAUCACAAGUGAAGAAAAUUUUGAAAAACUAGCAGACUAUGUGUUACAUACUCCUAGUACUCUAUUUUUACUGAUCUAUAAUCCCAGUAUAUGUAUAGUGCUUACAUAGAUAAAUGGUUUUAGUAUGUUGCAGUGAAGUGUAGGACUGUGCCGGACUGCCGGAUUUUUGUUUUUCAACCUUGAAAUAUACAGAAUGCUUGUGUCGUUUUUGGAUUAAAAUUGUUCAAUAAUAUCAAAAUUCUUUAAAUUCUUAUGUUUCAUUCAACGUUUCGAUCACAAUGUGAAUCUUUAUCAACAAUCUAUAAGUACAAGUAUAAAAUAAUUGACAUAAAUGAAUUGUUAAGAAUUUAUUUUAUCGUCGGUUUAUUUUCUACACUAAAUUAUUAUUGUAAGAAAGUUGGUUUUAUUUGAAAUUUAGGUUAUGUUAUUAUAUUGGUGUGUGACUUGAAUUUCAAUAUUAAUGAUAUUUUUAAUACUUUUUUCAGAGAAACUUUCACAGGCUACUGUAAUACUAUAUACAAAACUUCUGCAUUCCUCCUGCGUCGGUUUUUGUUGAGUCGAAUUUGCUGACGUUUCGCCAAUCAUUGAAUAAUUACUGCCGUCUUCAUUGUUCAUCGAAGGUGGGCAACAUUCUAGGCGACCGUCUUACGGUCUUGAGCAGUUCGAAAUAGUCCAACCUCUGAUAUUUUUCAACCAGGAAUGUUUCAUCCUACUUAUGCCCCGUUUCCCCUUAAUAUUCCCCUCCAUUAUCAAUAUGACUAAGGGAGAUUCGCACAAAACGAAAUCUACUGGUGUUAAGUCACAUGAUCCAGGGAGCCAUUCAAUGAAUCCAGCUCUACCGAAUAAUUUCUGUGGUAGUGAUUACUUAAAAAUUCUUUAAUUUCUCGAUGGUAGCGCGGAGGAGCUCCUUCUUGCUUAAACCCCCAUGGAUUAACAGUUGAAUAAUAAAGCAUUCUUCCGCCUCACCCAAAUAUGAGUGAUCCACCCUUAAAAAUAAUGGCGCUAUGGUAAUUUUUUUGCAAUUGUGAAAAUGAAAAUAUUGGAAUAAAAUGUUACGUGUAAGUAUGUAUUAUUAUUAUAAAGUGUCAUUUUUUGCAUCUUGUAGGGCAAGUUAAUAGAGCGAGAAGUUAGUCAGGAGUGCGUACUGCCACCUGUUAUUGAAUUUAUAUUCGUAGAUAAUACUUUAUCGGGCCCUUUGGGAGAGAGAAGAAGGUUUUCGACGGAAAGUGCUGAGCGCUUUCUUUUCAAAAUCUUCCACUAAUAUAUUUGCGAUGACUGGUGAUAACGGGGAACCGGUAGCGGUUCCUCCUAUUUGUUUUUAAAUUUCAACGUUGCACGAAAUAUAUGUUCCAGUUUCAGGAACUUUACUAAAAAGCCAUCUAAUGUAAUGAUGCAAUAAUCUCAAUGAAUUGAAAGGAAUUAAUAUAGAAGAUGACGUAGGAUCUUUUUUAAGUUGCUGACCUGUGAGAAUAUUAUGAACUGUUUCAUGAUAGUCAGUUGUGUUUAGCGUAGCAGCAGCAGGAGUGAAAAUUGCCAUUAACAAUCAAACGAAGAAAAACAAGUUAUAGGAAUGAAGAAGGAAUCCUGGCUGAGAAAUAUUAGAGACUCUACCGAUAUGAGUGUAGAAAAGAUGGUCGACAACCUUCGUUAGGGGAUGACACUACAGGAAGAAGAAGUUAAUAGAGCGAAAUUUUGAAGGAUUGCAUAUAGAAAAAAAUUGCAGAUACUGUUAAUUUUUGAAUCAAAAAAAUAAAAAUUAUACACGGUGUUCUAUGUGACAUAAAAAUGCGGCAUAAUAUGAUAUCAAAAAUUACCUUUUAGAGUCACAUCAACUAGAGUUUUAAAAUAUUACAUUAUGCAUCAAGUUUGUUAAACGCCUCUUUAGUCAC
Molecule: long non-coding RNA, 1939 nt
Organism: Cylas formicarius (sweet potato weevil)
Lineage: Eukaryota; Metazoa; Arthropoda; Insecta; Coleoptera; Brentidae
Exons: 5
Source: RefSeq, a predicted model, not a curated record